Molecule: long non-coding RNA, 927 nt
Organism: Eupeodes corollae
Lineage: Eukaryota; Metazoa; Arthropoda; Insecta; Diptera; Syrphidae
Exons: 2
Source: RefSeq, a predicted model, not a curated record
GUUUCUAAGAUCUGAGAGUUUACUUUGCUUUCAACAAAAUGAACAACAUUUUUUUCACUUUUGCUGCCAGAAAUUUAAAAAUAGAAUUUGUAUGAUUCGAUUUCUUAAGAAUUCUGCAUCGCACAAGUCAAAAAGGAAGAAAAUAAGUUCAAAGCUAAUUUUAUUUCAAGGUCAGAAUAAAAAGUGAACUUUUAUUAUAUAACAUUCUCCUACUCUAUCAACCUGAUUGGGAAAUUUCUCAGAACACUUGGAAAUAUAAACUGCUCAAUUGAGUUCACUUAAAAAAAAGAAUUCAACUUACCUCAACUAAAUUCACCACCCUUUCAAGCAAUAUCUUCUCACUAAGCUCUAUCGUAAUCUGGAAGUAAAACAAAAAUUAAAUUUAGAUUUAAGUGAUAAAAUUGAAUCAAAUUGUAUAAAUAUUAGAAUUUAAAUAUAAUUCUAUCAGCAGUUUAUUUUAGCGUUGGUUAUAGAACAAAUUCUCUUCAUGGCUUUUCAAAGCGAGCUGGGUAAGUUGUGUCAUCAUUGUAAAAUUAAAUAUAAAACACAAAGAUAAAUGUAUGCACAUACACUGCCGCUCAUCUCAAUAGGUUCAAUAGCAAAAAUUGCAGUUUAUGUUGAGUUGCGUGUUAAUUGUAAUCGAAAUUUUAUCUGUCAAUAAAGUUAGUGUGUUUUUCCUAUUAACUGUAAAAAAAAGGGUCGCGGAAAAUCUUUAAGCGAGGAAGAAAAACGCAAAAUAACGACAUUUCGGGAAUCAGGCCUAAGCCAACGACUUAAAGCGAAGAAAUUCAAAAGAGGUCAAAAUUUGGUAGGCAGUUACUUGCGAUAUAUCCAAAAUUAUGGACAAAAAAAAUGAAAGGAGGAACUUAUACGGCCUUAUCAAUGGCUGAUAGACGUGCUAUCAUCAGAACAGCUUCUAAUUCUUAU